GCCGAUGUAGCUCAGUUGGUAGAGCGCGUCCAUGGUAAGGACGAGGUCGCCGGUUCAAUCCCGGCCAUCGGCU
This 73-nucleotide transfer RNA is filed under the name Minisyncoccota bacterium. RNAcentral describes it as "tRNA-Thr". It matches the Rfam family "tRNA". Rfam says of the family: Transfer RNA (tRNA) molecules are approximately 80 nucleotides in length. Lineage: Bacteria; Bacillati; Minisyncoccota. The record is from RNAcentral. RNAcentral also lists the same sequence under 1 other name.